This 446-nucleotide ribosomal RNA is filed under the name uncultured bacterium. RNAcentral's name for it is "bacterial SSU rRNA". It matches the Rfam family "Bacterial small subunit ribosomal RNA", at positions 335 to 799 of the family's 1533-position model. The record is from RNAcentral.
ACUCCUACGGGAGGCAGCAGUGGGGAAUAUUGCACAAUGGGCGCAAGCCUGAUGCAGCAACGCCGCGUGAGCGAUGAAGGCCUUCGGGUCGUAAAGCUCUGUCCUCAAGGAAGAAUAAAUGACGGUACUUGAGGAGGAAGCCCCGGCUAACUACGUGCCAGCAGCCGCGGUAAUACGUAGGGGCAAGCGUUAUCCGGAAUCACUGGGCGUAAAGGGUGCGUAGGCGGUUUUUCAAGUCAGAAGUGAAAGGCUAUGGCUCAACCAUAGUAAGCUUUUGAAACUGUUAAACUUGAGUGCAGGAGAGGAAAGUGGAAUUCCUAGUGUAGAGUGAAAUUCGUAGAUAUUAGGAGGAACACCAGUGGCGAAGGCGACUUUCUGGACUGUAACUGACGCUGAGGCACGAAAGCGUGGGAGCGAACAGGAUUAGAUACCCUGGUAGCACAGAG